This 307-nucleotide long non-coding RNA is filed under the name Ananas comosus (pineapple). RNAcentral describes it as "long non-coding RNA (ACOM_LNC011013)". Lineage: Eukaryota; Viridiplantae; Streptophyta; Magnoliopsida; Poales; Bromeliaceae. The record is from RNAcentral.
AAGAUUAUGCUCUUUAUUCGCGAUAGAAAAAGAAGUUAAUUGUAAAAGUUUUUUUUUUUUUUUUUUUUUUGAGAGAUAGGUAGCACGCUACCUGCUUCGUUUAUUUCAUUUAGAAAUAAACUUAGUUAGAAAUAUGAAUCAACUAAGAUUCGAACUUGGGUCUCGAAUACCAACCACCGAAUUCUUUGCCACUUGCUCUAGAGACGGUUGGUUAAUUGUAAAAGAUUCAGUUGAAGGUGUUACAGUUAUCUUUGUAUUUAAUCCAUUUGAUAGUAUGUAAUUAGAAAUGUUGUAAUUAUAAAUUAUA